Octopus sinensis (East Asian common octopus) is the source of this 267-nucleotide long non-coding RNA. RefSeq lists it as uncharacterized. The record is from RefSeq and is a predicted model, not a curated record. The transcript is spliced from 2 exons. NCBI's taxonomy places the organism in Eukaryota, Metazoa, Mollusca, Cephalopoda, Octopoda, Octopodidae.
AGUACUCUCAGGUUGGAUCUAGCCAUCUCAAUAGAAGUCAGUAUGUGGAAGCCUGUCAGUUAGACUGUACCUGUUUUAGGUGUUAAACUUAAUCUGUCAUCUGGGUUAAUACCAUCAUUUGGUCUUCGAAUGUGUUUAGUGCAGAUACUUUUGCAAGCAUUUAUUCCCUCCCUUGCAGUCACCAGUGUCACAUGUCUGUUUCUCUAUGCUGAGAUAUAAUAAAAUUAUUUCACUACCAUCAGUAUAUAACAAACAAUAACCAAGUCA